This 466-nucleotide ribosomal RNA is filed under the name uncultured bacterium. RNAcentral's name for it is "partial 16S ribosomal RNA". It matches the Rfam family "Bacterial small subunit ribosomal RNA", at positions 28 to 507 of the family's 1533-position model. The record is from RNAcentral.
GACGAACGCUGGCGGCGUGCUUAACACAUGCAAGUCGUGCGGUAAGGCCCUUUCGGGGGUACACGAGCGGCGAACGGGUGAGUAACACGUGAGCAACCUGCCCUUCACUUAGGGAUAACUGCCGGCAACGAUGGCUAAUACCGGACAUGACUUCCUCCCGCAUGUGGGGUGGUGGAAGGCAUUCGGGGGGUGGGGGGUGGGCUCGCGGGUUAUCAGCUUGUUGGUGGGGGGAUGGCCUACCAAGGCUUCGACGGGUAGCCGGCCUGAGAGGGUGACCGGCCACACUGGGACUGAGACACGGCCCAGACUCCUACGGGAGGCAGCAGUGGGGAAUAUUGGACAAUGGGCGAAAGCCUGAUCCAGCAACGCCGCGUGAGGGAUGACGGCCUUCGGGUUGUAAACCUCUUUCGCCUGCGACGAAGCGAGAGUGACGGUAGCAGGUAAAGAAGCACCGGCCAACUACGUG